RNAcentral lists this ribosomal RNA (397 nucleotides) under uncultured bacterium. RNAcentral describes it as "bacterial SSU rRNA". It matches the Rfam family "Bacterial small subunit ribosomal RNA", at positions 358 to 772 of the family's 1533-position model. The record is from RNAcentral.
GGAAUAUUGGACAAUGGGCGAAAGCCUGAUCCAGCAAUGCCGCGUGAGUGAUGAAGGCCCUAGGGUUGUAAAGCUCUUUUACCCGGGAUGAUAAUGACAGUACCGGGAGAAUAAGCUCCGGCUAACUCCGUGCCAGCAGCCGCGGUAAUACGGAGGGAGCUAGCGUUGUUCGGAAUUACUGGGCGUAAAGCGCGCGUAGGCGGUCCAUCAAGUCAGAGGUGAAAGCCCGGGGCUCAACCCCGGAAUUGCCUUUGAAACUGGCGGACUAGAAUCUUGGAGAGGCGAGUGGAAUUCCGAGUGUAGAGGUGAAAUUCGUAGAUAUUCGGAAGAACACCAGUGGCGAAGGCGACUCGCUGGACAAGUAUUGACGCCGAGGUGCGAAAGCGUGGGGAGCAAA